Molecule: non-coding RNA, 86 nt
Filed under: Astrosyne radiata
Lineage: Eukaryota; Bacillariophyta; Fragilariophyceae; Cyclophorales; Cyclophoraceae
Source: RNAcentral
UGGUGCUUUCUCAAACACCACGAAGUCCUGCCCAUUCCAAGUGGAGGAGAUCGCCAGGGGCGCAAUGACGAUGGCUGGGUGUCCCA